Molecule: long non-coding RNA, 530 nt
Organism: Cercocebus atys (sooty mangabey)
Lineage: Eukaryota; Metazoa; Chordata; Mammalia; Primates; Cercopithecidae
Exons: 3
Source: RefSeq, a predicted model, not a curated record
UAUGGAGCCUCCAGAGCUAUCUUUGCUGAAAGAAUGAAACUUCAGGAAUGAAAGUUUGCACAUAAAGGCUGUAGUGCAUUGGCAUGAUUAUGGACCUUCAGGGAUUGAGCAGUUCGACCUCCCAAGGAUCAAGCAAUCCUCCUGCCUCAGCCUCCCAAGUAGCUGGGACUACAGCCAUAAAUAUUUAUUGAGCACCGGUGAUGUUCCAGGCGUGGUUUUUGGUGCUAGCAGGAGAGAAAACAAUACCUGUGGCCUAAAGAGCUCAACCUGACCUGAAGAACUCAAGGGAAUCUUGAACUUGAGUGGGGCAGAAAAUGCAUUUUCCUUUUCACUAAACUUGCAAAAAUAUAGCAUUUUCUUCAAUUAUGAAUUUAGGCAACAAACCACACUAGUAUUAGCAGUGCCUGUGGCUUUGUUAUUAAUAAAAAUAAGUCUUUUCAUAUCACAUUAUAGUUCUUUUGUAGGUCUAGAAAUAUUUAUUGGAAAUAGCAUUACCUUAAAAGUAGAAAUUGGGAGGCCACUUUUAGAUU